UACGUAGGUGGCGAGCGUUAUCCGGAAUUAUUGGGCGUAACGAGCGCGCAGGUGGUUGAUUAAGUCUGAUGUGAAAGCCCACGGCUUAACCGUGGAGGGUCAUUGGAAACUGGUCGACUUGAGUGCAGAAGAGGGAAGUGGAAUUCCAUGUGUAGCGGUGAAAUGCGUAGAGAUAUGGAGGAACACCAGUGGCGAAGGCGGCUUCCUGGUCUGUAACUGACACUGAGGCGCGAAAGCGUGGGGAGCAAACAGGAUUAGAUA
RNAcentral lists this ribosomal RNA (261 nucleotides) under uncultured prokaryote. RNAcentral's name for it is "partial 16S ribosomal RNA". It matches the Rfam family "Bacterial small subunit ribosomal RNA", at positions 524 to 784 of the family's 1533-position model. The record is from RNAcentral.